AGAGUUUGAUCAUGGCUCAGAAUCAACGCUGGCGGCGCGCUUAACACAUGCAAGUCGAGCGAGAAAGUGGAGCAAUCCAUGAGUAAAGCGGCGUACGGGUGAGUAACACGUGGAUGAUCUACCUUCUAGUGGGGGAUAACGCUGGGAAACCGGCGCUAAUACCGCAUAAGCCUGCAAAGGGAAAGCAGCAAUGCGCUGGAAGAGGAGUCCGCGGCCGAUUAGCUAGUUGGUGAGGUAACGGCCCACCAAGGCGAUGAUCGGUAGCCGGCCUGAGAGGGCACACGGCCACACUGGCACUGAAACACGGGCCAGACUCCUACGGGAGGCAGCAGUGGGGAAUCUUGCACAAUGGGGGCAACCCUGAUGCAGCGACGCCGCGUGAGCGAUGAAGCCCUUCGGGGUGUAAAGCUCUUUCGGCAGGGACGAUAAUGACGGUACCUGAAGAAGAAGCUGCGGCUAACUACGUGCCAGCAGCCGCGGUAAUACGUAGGCAGCGAGCGUUGUUCGGAAUUACUGGGCGUAAAGAGUGUGUAGGCGGUGCUCUAAGUUCGGUGUGAAAUCUCCUGGCUUAACUGGGAGGGUGCGCCGGAAACUGGAGUGCUCGAGCGUGGGAGAGGAAAGCGGAAUUCCUGGUGUAGCGGUGAAAUGCGUAGAUAUCAGAGGAACACCUGCGGUGUAGACGGCUUUCUGGACCAUUGCUGACGCUGAGACACGAAAGCGUGGGUAGCAAACAGGAUUAGAUACCCUGGUAGUCCACGCCCUAAACGAUGCAUACUUGGUGUCGGCCAUUCAGUUGGUCGGUGCCGGAGCUAACGCGUUAAGU
Molecule: ribosomal RNA, 823 nt
Filed under: uncultured bacterium
Lineage: Bacteria
Description: bacterial SSU rRNA
Rfam family: Bacterial small subunit ribosomal RNA
Source: RNAcentral